GACGAACGCUGGCGGCGUGCUUAACACAUGCAAGUCGAACGGAAAGGCCCUGCUUUUGUGGGGUGCUCGAGUGGCGAACGGGUGAGUAACACGUGAGUAACCUGCCCUUGACUUUGGGAUAACUUCAGGAAACUGGGGCUAAUACCGGAUAGGAGCUCCUGCUGCAUGGUGGGGGUUGGAAAGUUUCGGCGGUUGGGGAUGGACUCGCGGCUUAUCAGCUUGUUGGUGGGGUAGUGGCUUACCAAGGCUUUGACGGGUAGCCGGCCUGAGAGGGUGACCGGCCACAUUGGGACUGAGAUACGGCCCAGACUCCGACGGGAGGCAGCAGUGGGGAAUAUUGCAGAAUGGGCGGAAGCCUGAUGCAGCAACGCCGCGUGCGGGAUGAAGGCCUUCGGGUUGUAAACCGCUUUCGCCUGUGACGAAGCGUGAGUGACGGUAAUGGGUAAAGAAGCACCGGCUAACUACGUG
Molecule: ribosomal RNA, 468 nt
Filed under: uncultured bacterium
Lineage: Bacteria
Description: partial 16S ribosomal RNA
Rfam family: Bacterial small subunit ribosomal RNA
Source: RNAcentral